This is a ribosomal RNA of 2921 nucleotides. It matches the Rfam family "Bacterial large subunit ribosomal RNA".
UUAAGAUAUUAAGGGCGCACGGUGGAUGCCUUGGCACUAGAAGCCGAUGAAGGACGUUACUAACGACGAUAUGCUUUGGGGAGCUGUAAGUAAGCUUUGAUCCAGAGAUUUCCGAAUGGGGAAACCCAGCAUGAGUUAUGUCAUGUUAUCGAUAUGUGAAUACAUAGCAUAUCAGAAGGCACACCCGGAGAACUGAAACAUCUUAGUACCCGGAGGAAGAGAAAGAAAAUUCGAUUCCCUUAGUAGCGGCGAGCGAAACGGGAAGAGCCCAAACCAACAAGCUUGCUUGUUGGGGUUGUAGGACACUCUAUACGGAGUUACAAAGGACGACAUUAGACGAAUCAUCUGGAAAGAUGAAUCAAAGAAGGUAAUAAUCCUGUAGUCGAAAAUGUUGUCUCUCUUGAGUGGAUCCUGAGUACGACGGAGCACGUGAAAUUCCGUCGGAAUCUGGGAGGACCAUCUCCUAAGGCUAAAUACUCUCUAGUGACCGAUAGUGAACCAGUACCGUGAGGGAAAGGUGAAAAGCACCCCGGAAGGGGAGUGAAAUAGAACCUGAAACCGUGUGCUUACAAGUAGUCAGAGCCCGUUAAUGGGUGAUGGCGUGCCUUUUGUAGAAUGAACCGGCGAGUUACGAUUUGAUGCAAGGUUAAGCAGUAAAUGUGGAGCCGUAGCGAAAGCGAGUCUGAAUAGGGCGUUUAGUAUUUGGUCGUAGACCCGAAACCAGGUGAUCUACCCUUGGUCAGGUUGAAGUUCAGGUAACACUGAAUGGAGGACCGAACCGACUUACGUUGAAAAGUGAGCGGAUGAACUGAGGGUAGCGGAGAAAUUCCAAUCGAACCUGGAGAUAGCUGGUUCUCUCCGAAAUAGCUUUAGGGCUAGCCUCAAGUGAUGAUUAUUGGAGGUAGAGCACUGUUUGGACGAGGGGCCCCUCUCGGGUUACCGAAUUCAGACAAACUCCGAAUGCCAAUUAAUUUAACUUGGGAGUCAGAACAUGGGUGAUAAGGUCCGUGUUCGAAAGGGAAACAGCCCAGACCACCAGCUAAGGUCCCAAAAUAUAUGUUAAGUGGAAAAGGAUGUGGCGUUGCCCAGACAACUAGGAUGUUGGCUUAGAAGCAGCCAUCAUUUAAAGAGUGCGUAAUAGCUCACUAGUCGAGUGACACUGCGCCGAAAAUGUACCGGGGCUAAACAUAUUACCGAAGCUGUGGAUUGUCCUUUGGACAAUGGUAGGAGAGCGUUCUAAGGGCGUUGAAGCAUGAUCGUAAGGACAUGUGGAGCGCUUAGAAGUGAGAAUGCCGGUGUGAGUAGCGAAAGACGGGUGAGAAUCCCGUCCACCGAUUGACUAAGGUUUCCAGAGGAAGGCUCGUCCGCUCUGGGUUAGUCGGGUCCUAAGCUGAGGCCGACAGGCGUAGGCGAUGGAUAACAGGUUGAUAUUCCUGUACCACCUAUAAUCGUUUUAAUCGAUGGGGGGACGCAGUAGGAUAGGCGAAGCGUGCGAUUGGAUUGCACGUCUAAGCAGUAAGGCUGAGUAUUAGGCAAAUCCGGUACUCGUUAAGGCUGAGCUGUGAUGGGGAGAAGACAUUGUGUCUUCGAGUCGUUGAUUUCACACUGCCGAGAAAAGCCUCUAGAUAGAAAAUAGGUGCCCGUACCGCAAACCGACACAGGUAGUCAAGAUGAGAAUUCUAAGGUGAGCGAGCGAACUCUCGUUAAGGAACUCGGCAAAAUGACCCCGUAACUUCGGGAGAAGGGGUGCUCUUUAGGGUUAACGCCCAGAAGAGCCGCAGUGAAUAGGCCCAAGCGACUGUUUAUCAAAAACACAGGUCUCUGCUAAACCGUAAGGUGAUGUAUAGGGGCUGACGCCUGCCCGGUGCUGGAAGGUUAAGAGGAGUGGUUAGCUUCUGCGAAGCUACGAAUCGAAGCCCCAGUAAACGGCGGCCGUAACUAUAACGGUCCUAAGGUAGCGAAAUUCCUUGUCGGGUAAGUUCCGACCCGCACGAAAGGCGUAACGAUUUGGGCACUGUCUCAACGAGAGACUCGGUGAAAUCAUAGUACCUGUGAAGAUGCAGGUUACCCGCGACAGGACGGAAAGACCCCGUGGAGCUUUACUGUAGCCUGAUAUUGAAAUUCGGCACAGCUUGUACAGGAUAGGUAGGAGCCUUUGAAACGUGAGCGCUAGCUUACGUGGAGGCGCUGGUGGGAUACUACCCUAGCUGUGUUGGCUUUCUAACCCGCACCACUUAUCGUGGUGGGAGACAGUGUCAGGCGGGCAGUUUGACUGGGGCGGUCGCCUCCUAAAAGGUAACGGAGGCGCUCAAAGGUUCCCUCAGAAUGGUUGGAAAUCAUUCAUAGAGUGUAAAGGCAUAAGGGAGCUUGACUGCGAGACCUACAAGUCGAGCAGGGUCGAAAGACGGACUUAGUGAUCCGGUGGUUCCGCAUGGAAGGGCCAUCGCUCAACGGAUAAAAGCUACCCCGGGGAUAACAGGCUUAUCUCCCCCAAGAGUUCACAUCGACGGGGAGGUUUGGCACCUCGAUGUCGGCUCAUCGCAUCCUGGGGCUGUAGUCGGUCCCAAGGGUUGGGCUGUUCGCCCAUUAAAGCGGUACGCGAGCUGGGUUCAGAACGUCGUGAGACAGUUCGGUCCCUAUCCGUCGUGGGCGUAGGAAAUUUGAGAGGAGCUGUCCUUAGUACGAGAGGACCGGGAUGGACAUACCUCUGGUGUACCAGUUGUCGUGCCAACGGCAUAGCUGGGUAGCUAUGUGUGGACGGGAUAAGUGCUGAAAGCAUCUAAGCAUGAAGCCCCCCUCAAGAUGAGAUUUCCCAACUUCGGUUAUAAGAUCCCUCAAAGAUGAUGAGGUUAAUAGGUUCGAGGUGGAAGCAUGGUGACAUGUGGAGCUGACGAAUACUAAUCGAUCGAAGACUUAAUCAA